UCUGACAUGGUGCACAUAAAAAAUGUUGAAGAGUGAUAUGAAGACUCAAGAAGCUAGUAUUGUUUCAAGAUGCAAACCCUUAUCUCUUGUAUGCAAAAUGGGAGUAAUUAACAAGGUUCAGCGAAAACAGCAACAUGUAGCACAAGUUUUGCCUCCAGGAAUGUACACUGGGUGGCAAACAAAGAUUAUUACAAAUCUUUUUUGAAAGGAAUUAUUACAAAUCUUGAUGUACUCCGUCAAAGGAGCGGAAACUAGAAGGAACAUAGCGACAAAAAAGUCCCCAAGUGCAGCCAACGACAACAAGACAACUGCACGGUACAACGACACGUUCUCAUAUCCAAGCUGCAAAGGAUGUAGGAUUACGAGCAAGAUGAGCAUUGAUCGUCGCAAAACAAGGUUCUGGCUCCAACUGCUCAUGUUGGUUGCCAUCUACUGGGUAUGAAAAUACUCGAGCGUUUUCAUCCAACUGAUAGACAAGGCCACCCCUUAAACCCAUUCUCUCUGGGUUCACUAAGAGUCGUGGCUGUCCAGUACGUUUCUCGCCCAAGAAGAACUUCCACUUCUUCAAGCCUCCCUCUUCCACGAUCACAUACUUUGCAGGUUCAGUUGAGAAGUCAAUGGAGAAGGCUUCCCCGUUACGACCAAGUAGGAGAAGUGUGUCUUCACAAGCCACCAAAUUUCCGGAAAGCACGUACGGGUCCAUAUAAUCUCUGCAAUCAAGUCUUAGUAGCUCAACAUGAAACUGAGGUGUCAAAUGCACGGUGUAUAGUUUUUGACGCAUCCUCAUAAUGACCCCACCUUUGAAGGACACCAUCUCCUUGAUCAAAUGUGCAUUUAGAAAAUCGCAGUGCAACCAAGAGGGGCUCCCAACUCGCCAAGCAUACAGGCAGUGCGGGCUGCUGAAAAAUAGAUAUGAAUCUGGUGACGCCUCUGGAGAUAUGAAGGUUCUGUAGCAUAGUUGACUCAAUGGAAAAGGUGGAGCUGCAACCGUAGUGCCAGUGAGCACGUCCAUAAUGACAAGGGAUCUCUCGUAGCAGAAAAUAGCAUGACCAUAAGAACAUUUGACGACUGCCAUUUUGUCCAAAAUACUUGGAGGGGUCAAGCGACACAACGGAGUACUUGGAUAUACAGGAUCAAUGAGCUCCCAUGUGUUUCCAAUGUUAGAGCCAGCUGAGCUUGUCUGGUCAGCACAGUUCCGGAAAAUAACAGGUGGGAAGAGCUCGCCUAAGGUAGAUUUGAUUGACAUGAAUGCGGCAUACCAGCUAGGGCAGGUGGCGAUGAAUGCAAGAAGGUCACGAGUUGAACCCAACAGGACAAUGAUGGAGUGCAAUAAUCCAUGUGGUAGGUCCGCCCAGCCUUCGGGUCCAAACAUGACACGGUGCACGGAGAUGGGGGUGUCGGAGCUCCGGUUGAUAUUUUGCAUGAUAUCAGCUUCAAAUUCUGCAUUAAGGAUCAUGAAAGGACAACAAUUUUAGCAAUGGACCUGAGUUAACUAUAUAAUAUAAAUUGCUAUCACUAUUUUUAUUAAAUUGGUACUGCUACUGCUAUGAUAAUUAUACAAACACAAUAAAAAUGUUUGUAGAAACUAUAAACAUAAUACACAGUAGAGCAAAGACUACACUAUUGCCAUCGAAAUGUGCAUCUGCCUCAAGAAAAUUCGAUCACGAUAAAAUUCAUCAACAGUUGAAAAGGAAAGGCAAGUUCUGUAUUUUUCUUUCCACCGAAUGUUAUUUAUAUGUGUUGCGCAACAGGUUUGACUCUUGUCUCCAGGUCGAUUCCGGGCCCACAGAUACGCGAUAAAUUUCAUCAACAUUUGAAAUUAAAAAGUGCAAGCAAUAUUGAAAUUCUAAGAUUGUUCUACACUGAUAGUGGUAAACCCUUGAACUAUUUCAUAUUUUCAUAUAGUAUAAACACAACAGGAUCGCACAUCCACCAACAACACAUACACUCAGAUCCCCAAAUCAUCAAUGGCAGAGUCAGGCUACCAAGAACAAAAGUGCGAUGAACGCGUCAGAGGAGGUUGCCCACAAUGGGGGGAUGACGGGCCAAGGAAGAUGAUCCUGGGCAGCCUUGCGCGGUUGAGAACUCUGUCUGAUCAUGGACCGUGGCACCGGUCAGCAAAUAUAUAUACUCGGCCAACCCACGAGACCAUGUCCUACAUGGAAAUUGACUUAACCUAGAUCACAUCGUAUACUACAUAUUUGGACUCAAGCUUGACGCGAACACGUGAACUCCUACUAGUACAUGUACAUGACUUUGGUUAGUCCCCAAAGAAAUAAAGCCACGUGACAUGCAAGCACCAAGUACAUCAUGUUCCAAACAAAACAAUCAAGAUUAUGCUAACACUAGCGUCGGCCACUGCACCACCAAUGGCUGUCAUGGGUUCCCAACUCCAGUAGGAGGUGGGCAAGGUCUCGUCCACGAUACCGGCAAUCACUCCAAAGCUGCUUGUAUGUACAACUCAGAGCAAGGGGGUAGAACUCGACAUCAACUUGGUUCCUUCCCUUGCCAGGGCUGAACCCGGAGGGCGGAGGUGAUUCAAGGCCAGGCCUCCUCCAUGAGUCCGGCAGCCAGCAAGGAAAAUGAAGUGGGCGAAGUCAACCUCAACAAGGCUCCUCCCCUACCCCUGGAGCCAGUAACAUGAAAGCCAAGCACCACAAAGAUAAGAAUAGCACAAGGGUAAGUGUCGGUGUCAAAACUGGCGGAUCUCGGGUAGGGGGUCCCGAACUGUGCGUCUAGGCGGAUGGUAACAGGAGACAAGGGACAUAAUGUUUUUACCCAGGUUCGGGCCCUCUCGAUGGAGGUAAUACCCUACUCCUGCUUGAUUAAUAUUGAUGAUAUGGGUAGUACAAGAGUAGAUCUACCACGAGAUCAAGGAGGCUAAACCCUAGAAGCUAGCCUAUGGUAUGAUUGUUGUUCUGUCCUACGGACUAAAACCCUCCGGUUUAUAUAUACACCGGAUAGGUUAGGGUUACACAGAGUCGGUUACAAUGGUAGGAGAUCUACAUAUCCGUAUCGCCAAGCUUGCCUUCCACGCCAAGGAAAGUCCCAUCCGGACACGGGACGAAGUCUUCAAUCUUGUAUCUUCAUAGUCUUGGAGUCCGGCCGUGACGAUAGUCCGGCUAUCCGGACACCCCCUAGUCCGGGACUCCCUCGGUAGCCCCUGAACCAGGCUUCAAUGACGACGAGUCCGGCGCGCAUAUUGUCUUCGGCAUUGCAAGGCAGGUUCCUCCUCCGAAUACUUCAUAGAAGGUUUUGAACACAAGGAUAGUGUCCGGCUCUGCAAAACAAGUUCCACAUAACACCGUAGAGAGAAUAAUUUUUGCACAGAUCUGCUGACGUAUUCCGCGGCGUGACAUCACACCACGGCCAGGCCUUUAUAUGAAUCGUUUUUACUGUUCCACCUCAGCGUGUUUAGCGAGGCAGUUUCCUUGGCACGUCUUAUCAAGGCGUAGAUCGCGCCCCCUUAUUCCGGGAUUCUCAUCAAUACGGACGUGGGUAACCCAACCGUGCCCAUUGGCCUGCCUCCUCUAUCAAAGGCGAGUCCUAAUCGACCACGGGGUGGGCUCUUGGUAUUCAACCUCUUUAUAAUAAGACCAAGGCCCUCUUCUUUUUACACCCUCCAUCGAGUUCGCCUUGCGCUUCGAGUUCCAACACCCAAAGCUUCAGAUUCGGGCGCUUCGGACUUUCAAAGAUAUCCGGAUCCGACCAGCACGGCCGAUGGAUGUCUUCCUCCGUCACAGAAGAAGACAUGCUAAAACUGCGCGACGCCAGGUAUCUAACCGGCGAGAUCUCGCAUAGGCUGCCUGCUCCAGGGUAGGUCAUUCCCACUCCUGAGCCCGGCGAGAACGUGGUGUUCGUGUCCCACUUCCUUCGGGGUUUAGGCUUCCCGACGGAUCCCUUUGUGCAGGGGCUCAUGUUUUAUUAUGCGCUUGAUUUCCAUGACUUGAAUCCGGAGUCCAUCCUCCAUAUCUCGUCAUUCAUUGUCGUAUGUGAGGCCUUCCUCCAUAUUACCCCCCACUUUGGAUUGUGGCUCAAGACCUUCAAGGUGGAGCCAAAGAUGAUCGAGGGGCAACAAGCAGAGUGCGGAGGGGCGGCCAUAAGCAAAUGUGCUGAUGCUCCAUGGCCCGAGGGCUCUUUUCAAGAGGAGCUUGGUUUGUGGCAACGGGAGUGGUUUUAUAUCACCGCUCCCAGGGGCACCAAAUGGGAGCCGCUCCCUGCCUUCCACUCAGGUCCACCACAGCGGCUGGCAUCAUGGGUCAACAAGGGGCUUGAUUGGGGGCUGUAUUCGAGACCUCCAGGAAAGAGGAAUCAACCUGGUUGCAGUGGCGCAGGUUAUGGUGAUCCGGCGCCUUCAGCCCUGCAAACGUCACCCCCUCCGCCUGUGGGAAUUCAAUCUGGAGGGACCACGAGCUCUCCAAAACUUUAUGGGCACGACGCCCAUGGAGAUGUAUAGACUGUUCUUCGGAUCACAAGAGAAGUGUCCGGACUUGACCGAGGACGCAGGACUAAGCUGCAAUCGCCCGGAUACUCAAGUAAGUAGUCCUGUAACCGGACAAGCUGUUUAUUCAUUUAUUUUAUAUAUGUGCCCUUUAAAGGAGCCGUUUCUUGCACAGGAAUGGAUAGCCAAGGCAAAGUUAAUAAGGUGUCCGGCUCCCCUCCCAGAGACCACGCUGGAUCCCAUGCUGACCAAGAUGUUGAAGGUCGCGCCUUUUGAAGAAGGCGAAGGGGGGAGCGGGAAGGCAACUACCUCUAUGAAGGAGGCUAUCAAGGAAGGAGGGAUUAAGAGUCCCACCUUCCGAGGAGAGAAGAGGACCGCUUCGGAAGAUCCGGAGGUCAAGGCCUCAAAGAGGGGAAAGGGAUCUUCGGCAAAGAGUCCGGCGCUGGGAAGUAACCCAGGCGCAUUAUUCCCCCAAGGGGAUCAGCCCUCCAGCGGGCCGUAAGUAAAAAGAAGGGGUCUUGUAAAUAAGGAACAUCCCUGUAUUUAUUCAUGAAGAUAACCGAAAUUGUACCUUGUAGUUCGGACCUCAGCCCUUCUCAGCAGAGCUCGUCUUCGCGGGAUCUUCUUCCGGAGAUGAUGGAGAGCGAAACGCCUCCACUUGUCGCACCCUCAUGUGAAGCGGACGACCCGGAGGUGUCGUCGCGGAGGGUUCCCCCAAGUCCGGCGGGGCCGGAAGGUCCGGCGCCAAGUGGUGUGCGGUCGGAGGAGCUGAAGGAUCUGCUCGGGCGAGCGUCUAUUUCAGAGGAUCACCGUGCUCUAAUGGGUGUGGUGAUUGAAAGAAUUGCAUCCGCGGAGAGCGGAUUGCAUGAAGCCGUCAGAAGCUUACUGACGGGGUUUGAGGUACGCAAAAAUGAUGUACCUUUUGACAGUUAUGCACAUAAAAUGCGCCCUGUAUAGAUAGUAGCCCCUGAGACUCGGUAUGUUGUCAAAAUUGACAACGUGCCGAGGAUCAAAUUCUCAGUUAUAACAUAUCGCUGCUCCUAAACAGGUGGCGGGGCGUCCGAAGGCCAGCCGGACUGAUGAAUAUGCCGAGCUAAAGCGGCGACUUGACGAGGCGGAUGCGGACAUCGCACUGGUCAAUAAACGGUUUGACGAGUCACAAGGUAUGCGACUUCUAUGCGGACACCUGGUGAGGGGGCCUGACGCCCAUGUCUUAUUAUUCGUAUGCUUAAUGUGGAUGGUGCUGCUACCGUGGAGGAGCUGCGGGCGGAACUCGCCCGAGCAAAAGAGCAAGCCCGGGUCUGUAAUGCGGCUGCUUUAAAGGCAGCCGAAGAGCUAGAAGCCGAACGGGCUGCUCACUGCCGAAGCAAAGAGGAAAUGGCCGAUAUGGCCAAAAAGUUAAGGAAUACUACCGAUCGCUACGAGGUUCUUGAAAAAGAACGUCAAGCGGAACAAGAGGGCCUAAAAAGGCCGCCGCCGAAUCCAAGAAUGCCCAAGCGGCUUUGAGAGCUGCCAAGGAGGAGCUGAGUCAGGCCGGGGCAAUUGCGGCUGGAAAACCGUUUCUGCUGCAGAGAAAAUACACAGAUCCAAAGUAUGCUCAAUUGGAUAAGUUGUGGAGUUCGGAGGAUUCUUAUCUGGACGCGGCGAGCGCUGCGGACGCGGUUGAGCACUUCCGGGGCCAGAAGGGGCACAGAAGGGAAGAGCUAUAUUGGUCUCAAUUCCAUAGUCCGGAGCGUCCUCUGUCGCUGACCGAUCAGUUGGCCGAAUGGGCCGAGCUGAAUCGGUUGUCCGGCUUUGCCAUGAAGCAUGUCCUGACUCACUUGUGGCCGGGCGAACCCCAGCCGAAGAGCUAUUUUGGUUUAGUGCAGCAGUUCCUUGGUGCGGUACCGCGUAUCGACGAAAUAAAGCAAUCAACGUGUAUUGAGGGAGCGCGGAUGGCUCUUGCCCGUGUCAAGACAUACUGGGCAGAGAUGAAGGCCACCGAUGUUGCAUCCCAAGACUCGGACAGAAGCCGAGUACCUGCCGAGCACUACUUUGAAGAAGUCCUACCGGGCGCUCGUUUAAUAGAGACGCAGUGCUCGAAGGAUAUUAUGUUUUAGAUGACAUGUAUGAUUUGUGAAAAUGAUGUUUCAAUAUAAUAUAAGAGCUUUUUAUACUUGUGCGGUCAAGUAGUAAACUACUCCCUGUGCGGCCGUUUAUGUAUAUUUGUAUAUAACCUGAAAGAUGGCAGUCCUUGGCUUCAGCCCCCACGCACAUAGUGCGGGGGUGUUUGCAAAGAAAGCGUUUUUUCACACUUAAUCCAACGUCUUGGUCCUAUUAAGGAGGUGAUAGUGUAGCAAACCAGGCAACCGAACUAUAAUGCUUUAUCACUUUCACUUAGCCAUAGGAGUUCGAGGGUGGGGCUACGAUAUAGCCCCUGGGGGCACCGCACUCUCCCGAAUUCGGGGUGCGUAUGUGCCUGACAGAAAACCGGUCCUUCGUUAAUGCGGAGGAAUCCUAAACAUUCCUGUGAGUCAUCGAGUGGUUGACCAGUCUCUCGCUAUAUCAUGACAGUCAGUUUUUGGCUUUCUCUACUGAGGUGCUCGCCCGGCCGAACCGGGGCACAAUCGUAGUAGUUCUCCUGGUGUCGCGUUAGCCGUGAAAACGGAACGUAAGGCAGCAAAACACAGGAGCCGGGCAACCCAACAUUUGACCAAAGACAUGAUUCGGAGCUGAUGCAUAUAAGGCCUAACUCGAGACGCCGAAUACUCCCUAAGGUAUUCGGUCUUUAUGAAAAUGGGCAGAAUAAUGCCCUAAGCCCCUGAUGUCCAGGUACGCGCAAAAAUUCUGGUGCGGUCAAUGCCAAAACGCCAGCCUCCUCCUCGGUUAUAAUAAGGAACCGGGGGAUGUAUAUCAACAAGAGACAGUAAAAAAGGUUUACGUAGGGUCUUAAUCUGAAAAGAAUCCUUGCAACGGGUCCCUACUGCACGUCUGCGCAUGUGUCUCUGUUGUGCCGUAUCCUGGACGGGUGUAGCACGUUGUUCAUCAGUAAAAGAGAGGAACUUAGUUUAAAAGAAAAAAAGAUUCGUGCAAAAGAUGUACUUAAUAUUAAAUAAACAGAGUAUGGUUCGAAGAAAAAGUUGAGCUUUAUUGUCUCUUGUUACACAUGCAUGUAGCCCCUCGUAUGGGGGUGUGCCGCUAGUAGGCACCGAACUCGUCUAGCCGUGUCCGAGUUUUGGAUGACCAAUUCAGGUUCUUUGCCUAGCAGAGCCGGAUAGCUUUGGGGCUGUCAAGGCAGUCUCCCGUUCUUCCGUGCUCGAGUAACACUUAAUACUUCCUUUUAGCGAGAUGAUGCCGCAUGGACCGGACAUUUUAAGUGUUAGAGAUGCAUAAUGUGGUAUUGUGUUAAAGCGGGCGAAAGCUUCGCGUCCCAAUAGUGCUUGAUGGCUACUUUUAAACGGGGCGAUAUGGAAGAGUAACCUUUCGGGACGGAAGUUGUCGGAUGAACCGAACACAACUUCUAGCAGGAUGGAGCCCGUACAAUGGGCAUAUGGUCCUGGCAUUACUCCUUUAAAGGAGGUGUUGCUACGACGGAUUUUGGUUGGGUUUAUCCCCAUCCUGCGGAUUGUAUCCUGAUAUAUCAGGUUUAUGUCACUGCCGCCAUCCAUGAGGACUCGCGUAAAUUGGAAUCCAUCGAUUAUAGGAUCCGAUAUCAGGGCAGUCCAUCCUGCGUUCCAGAUAUUUUCGGAAUAGUCAUGAUGGUCGAAGGUGAUUGGUUUUGACAACCAGUGUGCGGCGUGCCUUUUAGUGGGUGCCGCUCUGUUUUCCCUUUGAUCACGUGAAGUGAGUUUACUAUUUUAACCUCUUGUGGGAAAGUCUUUUGUUUUCCGGGGCUCUGCUUGUGGUGCUCGUCGUCAUCUUCACUUGGUGUGUCGAGCCCCUUGUGUUCGGCGUUCAGUCUGCCGGACUGUUUGAAGGCCCAACAAUUUCGGUGGGUAUGGUUAGCAGGCCUCCCAGGAGUACUGUGGAUUUGACAUAUCUUGUCCAGGAUUUUGUUGAAGUUGGAUAGCUCAUCGCUAUUGUCCUUAAGGGGCAGUUUUUUGUUGUUCUGCCGUGAGCUUUUGAAUCCGGCGUUGACUGCCGUGCUCUUUGGACUGUUCCUUUUAAUCCGGCGCUGGUCCUUGUUGCGCCGUGGUUUCCCAUUUCCAUCCCUGAUUUCGGAUGUACUUGGGUCGCUGGUGCUGCAUCUUGCUAGCCAGCUAUCCUCUCCCGCGCAAAAGCGGGUCAUGAGGCUUGUUAGUGCGGCCAUUGUUCUUGGCUUUUCUUGGCCGAGGUGUCUGGCGAGUCAUUCGUCUCGGACGUUGUGUUUGAAAGCUGCUAAGGCUUCGGCGUCCGGACAGUCGACUAUUUGGUUCUUUUUAGUAAGGAACCUGUUCUAGAAUUUCCGGGCUGACUCUCCGGACUGUUGAGUUAUGUGACUUAGAUCGUCUGCAUCCGGAGGGCGGACAUAAGUCCCCUGAAAAUUUGCCCGAAAUGCAUCCUCGAGCUCUUCCCAGCUUCCAAUGGUAUUUUCGGGGAGGCUCUUAAGCCAAUGCCGAGCUGGCCCUUUGAGUUUAAGGGGUAAGUAUUUUAUGGCGUGGUGAUCAUCUCCUCUAGCCAUGUGUAUGUGGAGGAUGUAAUCUUCAAUCCAGACUCCAGGGUCUGUUGUUCCGUCGUAUGCCUCUAUGUCUACGGGUUUGAAUCCCGCUGGAAAUUCAUGAUCCAGCACCUCAUCGAUGAAACAUAGGGGGUGUGCGGCGCCCCUAUAUUUGGGUGUGCCGUGAUCUUCGGAAUUUUGGCGUAUUGCAUUGCUAUGACGAGCAUGCUUUCUUGGCCCAUAGAUGGACCUAACUGGGCCAUCCUUUUGAUGUGAAUCCUUAUGCGGAUCACAUAUUGGCUUGUGUGCGGCACCAUUCGCCGCUCUCUUUUUGCCGUGAGGUCGUCCAUCCGACCGGGUGGCCUUCUUGCUUUUUAAUUGUGGGGGCUCUAAGGCCUCCACGUCAAAUUCGGGCAGUAGCUUUCUUUUCGGGUAGCUCUUUGUUCGGCGACUGUCGCCGUACUUGUCUGCGGUGCUGAAUACUUUGCUCCAUCUGAUCCUGAGUGCAUCUUCCGCUGUUUUGAGCUUCCGCUUCUUCUUUUUCAGGCUACGCGCAGUGGCGACGAGCCAUUUCUGGAGGUCGUUUUGCUCCAAUAGUUUGUCCGGCGUCAGAUCGUCCGGACUGUUGUCUUCGCCGGGGACAGAUUGUUUAUCCAAGUUGUCUUGUUCGGACGAUUGCUCAAUAGCUUGUUCGUUGUCCACCGGUUCGCCCUGCUCUAUGGCUGGGUCUUUAUUGAGGCGGGACUUUGUUCGGCGUUUACGCUGCCGUUUUGACUGCUUUUCGAGGUAUUUAUCCUUCGUAGCGUCCCGUUGUUCCUCGUCUUCAUUUCCUUUAGGUGUAUCCACCAUGUAUACAUCAUGAGAUGAGGUGGCUGUCCAGCAUCCUAGAGGUGCUGGCUCAUUGUUGUCUCCUACAUCAUCGUCCAUACCGUCGAUGUCUUCGGAGUCGAAGUCGAGCACGUCAUGUAAGCUUUUGACAGUGGCUACGAAGUGGGUGGUGGGUGGGCGUUGAAUUUUUUCGUCGUCCGCAUCCCAACCUCCUGACCGUAGUCCGGCCAGGGCUCUCCGGAUAAAGAGAGAGACUUUAGUGAAUUCAGGAUGUUGCCAAAGGGCGAGUGCUGAAAGAUGUCCGCGGCCGUGAACUCCAUGACCGGCGCCCAAUCGGGUUCGAUUGGCAGGGGCGCGGAGGGUUCAGAGUCCGGAGAGGAGUCCGGCACCCUGAAGUCAAGGUCUUCGCAAAGGACAGGGAUGGAGUUCGGAUCGAUCGCAGUAGAGAUUGUAGCCCCCGAGGCGGUGUCCAACCACUCAUCCUCGAUCGGGGAAUCCGGCUCCGGAUUAAGGGUCGGAGCGGAUACUGGUGCGGCCUCCAAGGCACUGUUCGGUUGCAGAGCUAGAUCAUGCCCGUCGAGACAGUGCGGCACGCUUGGCUGCGGCUCGAAUCCGUCGAAGAUCAAGUCUCCGCGGAUAUCAGCCGUAUAGUUCAAACUUCCAAAUCUGACCUGAUGGCCAGGGGCGUAGCUUUCGAUCUGCUCCAGAUGGCCAAGCGAAUUGGCCCGCAGUGCAAAGCCGCCGAACAUGAAGAUCUGUCCGGGGAGAAAAGUCUCACCCUAGACCGCGUCGUUGUUGAUGAUCGAAGGAGCCAUCGGGCCUAUCGGUGACGACACAGAGGAACUCUCAAUGAAAGCACCAAUGUCGGUGUCAAAACCGACGGAUCUCGGGUAGGGGGUCCCGAACUGUGCGUCUAGGCGGAUGGUAACAGGAGACAAGGGACACAAUGUUUUUACCCAGGUUCGGGCCCUCUCGAUGGAGGUAAUACCCUACUCCUGCUUGAUUAAUAUUGAUGAUAUGGGUAGUACAAGAGUAGAUCUACCACGAGAUCAAGGAGGCUAAACCCUAGAAGCUAGCCUAUGGUAUGAUUGUUGUUCUGUUCUACGGACUAAAACCCUCCGGUUUAUAUAGACACCGAAUAGGUUAGGGUUAAACAAAGUCGGUUACAAUGGUAGGAGAUCUACAUAUCCGUAUCGCCAAGCUUGCCUUCCACACCAAGGAAAGUCCCAUCCGGACACGGGACGAAGUCUUCAAUCUUGUAUCUUCAUAGUCUUGGAGUCCGGCCGUGACGAUAGUCCGGCUACCCGGACACCCCCUAGUCCGGGACUCCCUCAGUAAGCCAGGGAAGUAAGUUGAUCAAUCCCUGGUGAACACCGGGGCGGUGUUGGGUAAAUGCAUGGGACGUGACAGUGAGUCUUGUAGUGAGUUUGUGGCGACACCUAGUUACAAGGGUCCUGGUCUGAACAAGAAGGCAUGAGGUGAGGGUAAUGGAGGUGGCAUGAGCAACAUAGGUGUGUUAGGCGGUAAGGACGCUAUCGGCCCAUUGGUUGCCGAUGAAUGACAUGUGAUAAGGAAGGCACCUAUCAGGAGAAAUGAGUCGCCUGAUUUAGAAUUGUUGGGGCCUCGGGCAGUCUCGGAUAUUUGAAGAGCUAGUUUGCCUCGUGCACGCGUAUACCACUUGAUGAUCGUUUUACAUUCUGAAACUCAGCAAUGUGAAAGGAGUUUCAAUAAUCUUAGGUGGAUGCUAGGCCGCUAGAAUUGUAUUGUGCAUGAUGGUAAGGGCAAGGGUGUGUUGCGUUGUUGUGAGAUAAAUGAACUAAAAUAAAAAGAUUGCCAUAUACCUGACGUACAUCAAUGUCUUAAUUCAUGAUGAUUCCCAUGGACCAAAGGGAAAGAGUACCGUCGCCGAAGGGAACUACUAAAAUCCCUGGCCGAUGACUGCACUAAGCUGAGAGUGCUGCAAUAGGAUGUUUGGUCCUGGACAUUAAAGAUUUUGGCUCCAUGAUAAGCAGUACUCACUGGAUGAGAAGGAAUAUUGUAGUCACAUACUGAAUGCACCAUCUUAUUGGUUGCGGAUGGUCGGGAAAGCAUCUUAAGAAAGCAGGUCUUGGAAGGGUGGUUAAUGCCUAUCAAAAUUGUUGGGGGAGCCUCGGUGUCUCUAAACUAAUGUUUGUUGAUGACAGCCUUUUGUUCUUCAAGGCCGUAGGAAGAGAGGUGAGGGUAGUGAAGGACACUCCAAAUCUAUUUCAAAGGCGUACAUGAUAGCUUCUUAGCCCGGCUAAAUGCUCUUUAUUACUUAGUGAACAUUGCUCGCCCCAUGUCCAGUAAGAGAUAAAGGUCACCCUUGGUGUUGUGGCUUCCACUUUUGAGAGUAAAUAUUUGGAUUUACCAACCCCAGAAGGUAGGAUGUUUUCCUCGAAUUUUAGUCGAUCAUGGAAAGGUUCACAAAAAUGUGCAAGGACUGGAUUGAAAAGUAUAUGACCCAUGCAGCUAAAGUGGUCUUGAUUAAGUAAGUGGUUCAAGCGCUUCCCAAUUACUUCUUUGGAUUGUUCAAAUGUCCUUGGGCUUUUGUGAUAAGUAUGAAAAUUUUAUCUGGGACUUUAGGUGGGGCGAUGAGUAAGGACAUCACAAGGCCAUUUGGCUCUCCUGAUACCAAAUUAUAAAACAAAAGAGAGGAGGUGUUCUAGGAUUCUGGGAUAUGCAUAUGUUUAACCAAGCUCUCCUGGCAAGGCAAGGCUGGAGACUGGUUCACAAGCCGGAUAGUUUAUGUUCCAGAGUCUUGAAAUCAGAAUAUUAUCCUUGUGGGAUAUUCUGGACAUGGUCAUUUCCUCGUAUGCAUCCCCGGCUUGGAGUUAAGAUACUCAAGGAAGGCAUCAUCUGGCGUAUAGUGAAUGGACGAAAAAUUCAGAUUCAGAGAGACAACUGGAUUCUGAGACAGUAUGGCCUCAGGUUGCCAAAUUCGCUAGAAACUCAAGGUUGAGGUGGGUUAACCAGUUGAUUGUCUCGAUAAAAAAUGAAUGGAACAUUAACCUUGUCCAUAGGCUAUUUUCUGAUUUUGAUGUAGAGGAGAUAUUUCGCAUAAAUCACCCUUCUAUGUAAUGGAUGACGUGCUUAUAAACUUGCCACCAACUCAAAUUCAGGUACAAAUCCCCUGCUUCUAGCUCAUCAAGUGCGACAUAUAAUUGGAGUAUUUGGGAUGUGAUUUGGAGAGAUAAGGUUCCAGAGAAGGUUAAGGUCUUUGGCUGGAGGUUGCUACUGGCUCACUGGCUACACAAUUGUGUAAAUUUAUAAAGGCGCUGAGUGUAACACCAUUUGUGCUAUUUCUGGUAACAAUGUGGAUCACAAUUCCAAUCUCCACAGUGGCUUUGGGAUGUUGGCUAGUGUCCCAUCAAUACUUCUUUUUUGAGGGAAUUGGUGUCCCAUCAAUACUUAAUGCCCCCAUGUCUAAUGAUUGCAAUCAGUCCAUGGUAAUAUACAAGUCUAGUGGUUUCCCUCAAUUAAGUAAAAUAAACACAACUCGAAGAUCAACUAAUUUUUACCUUAAUUUUUCUAGAAAAAAUAGGGCGAGUUCUUCCCUUACCUUCUUCAAUGUUGAUAGCGGAGGGCGAAGUGGAGGCAACAACUAACUUCUCCGAUGCCAGUCGUGGCAAGACGUGGCCAUCGGAGAUAGUAUGCCGCUUUCCUCCAUCGCCAAUCAUCAUGUUGGCUCCAGAUCUGGAAAAAAUGGUUGGUCGCCCACACCUAGGACUCCAGAUCUAGAUGUAGUUGGUUGCCCAACUGCGGCGACUCCAAAUCUGGAUGCGGUUGGUCGCCCACACCUAGGACUCCAGAUAUGGAUGGAAACACAGUAGGAGCCUACGCGGUUUGUCUCAACGCAUCAUCCACCGCUCAAUCGUGGGCGGUUCAAGCGCAGUCUCGGCGUGGAUGUCAAGGGGAAGGGGGAACGUGUGUGACGAGAGAGAGAGCGAGGGGAGGGAGAGAGAGAAAGCGAGGACAGGAGGAGACUAGCGUGUGGGUUUGUUCGUUAUAGAAAAGCUUUACCUAUAGAUUAUUAUGUGAGCCUGCAUACCACAACAAGACCUCCCGUCCUCACGUUUAAAUUGCCCCGCCCUCUCCCACGUGGUGGGCCCACUUCUCACCCUACCGCUCCCAAAAAAGCGUGUAGGACGAGAGUUGUGCGUGUUGGUCAGUUUGCUCGCUGGAGCGAGCAAACGCCAGGGAGUCAAUAUGAGGUGCUCCCAGCAAGGAGACGAAAGACACCAUGCAACAUGCUCCGACCGACCAUGAUUCCUGCAUACAAAUAGUGAACCAUCGGAAGCAAUGACCUUACCUCACUGACCAGACACCCGCGGCUCCACUCCCACACACAUGAUGUCAGCGUGAGGUACUCAAUGUUCUCCUAGAAUUCUUGUAGCUGUUCGCCCAUAUUUUUAUUCAUGUUUCUCCCUGUCAACCAAGACCCCUCUACUGAAUUUCCCUUUGACUUGAGAAUGACGGCAGAGACGGAGCGCUUCAGAACGGGCCCUAACACCGGAACAUGCAACCACCGUGAUGUGGAGCACGCACGAGAAGAGAUCCACAGGAAUGGGGAUUAGCAACAUUAAGUAAUGUUUUAUACAAGGGUCCUGGUCUAAGUAAUCUGUGUUUAGCAACAUUAAGCUACAAAGUCGUUGUAGUAUAGUGGUAAGUAUUCCCGCCUGUCACGCGGGUGACCCGGGUUCGAUCCCCGGCAACGGCGCAUUUUUUUGUUUGGUUUGCCGGCCCACGACAGGCCACGCCGAUCCACUGCGUCCGAUGGAAGCUCCUGUUUUUUUUUAGGGUAAGCUACGUGCUGAAAAACAAAAUGUAAAGAAAAAAUAUAAUUUUCAUUGAGGGAGAACUGGGAAUCGAACUCACGAGGACCACGUGACUGAAAUAACCUAACCACUGCACCACCGUCAGUUACUUGCUAGCUUUCGUAAAACAGCCCUCUUUGACCUUUACUUCAGUAUAAACAUUAAACGUAUAUACUACUCCCUCCGUCCCAAAGUAAGUGUGUCAACUUUGUACUAGCUCUAGUACAAAUUUGUACUAAGCUCAAGACACUUUUUUUGAGACGGAGGGAGUAUUAUAUACCCACUAUAAAUUAUAUUUGAAUAAAGAAAAUAUAAACGUGAAAACGCAUUCACAUAAAACAUGAAUUCAAAAGAAAUGUUCACAAAAAUAGAAAAAAGAUUGUGAAUUUGGAAAAAAAUCAUCAAAUCUUAAAAAAAAGUUCAUCAAAUUUGAAAAAAGUUCACAAAAAUGAAGAGAGUUCACCUAAAUUGAAAAAGUUCAUUGAAUUUCAAAAAAAGAUCAUCAAAUUUGAAAAAAAGUUCAUCGUAUUUGAAAGAAGUUUAUUGAAUUUGAAAAAAAAUUCACCGAAAUUGAAAUAGUUCAUCGAAAUUGAGAAAAGUUCAUCGGAUUUGAGUAAAGUUCAUCGUAUUUGAAAAAAAGUUCACCGAAAUUUAAAAAAGUGCAUCGAUAUUGAGAAAAGUUCAUCAAAUUUGAAAAAUAGUUCAUGAAUUUAUAAAGACUUCAUAAAUUUAGAAAAAGGUACACGAAAUUUAUAAAACGGUGCAUUAAAGAAAACAAAAAAGAAUGAGAAAAAAAGAAAAAGUAUAAACCAAACUGAAUAAGGAAUAUAAGAAGAGAAACAAACUUUUUGUCCACUAGCGUGGUGAUGGCGUGGUGGUUAGUGCGUAGCGGUAGGAUCAGAGAGGUUGAGGGGUCGAACUCUUCCACGCGAGCACUUUUUGCCGUUUUCGAAAGUAUCCCGUUCGCUCUAGAGCCCUGCCAACACAUUUUGUGUCGGGCUACAAAUUUGUUGUUGCAAGGGCAAAGCAUGCGCGUGCUUAAGGACUACUAGAAUCUAGUCAUUGCCCAAAUGCUUAUAAUGAUACCGCUGAUUUUGAUAAAAGAAACACUUUGCUUUUGGUCUGUGCGUGCUACUUUUGGUUUGUUGGUUUUCCGGCUAUAUUUGCUAGCUCAAAUUUAGAUAAACCAGCUUUACAUUUGUAGACCAAAUGAGUUCGUGUUAUAUGUUAUAUAUGCGUUCAUAUUGGUCUUUUUCUCCAAUUGAGCCGGCAGAAGUUGCCUGAUUUUUGGAUUUGGCUCAGUUGAUUUAAUUGGGAAGGAAGAAGGAAGCGCAACGGGGCAUGGUGUCCGCCUUUGGUGGCAACGGGGCAUGGUGUCCGCCUUUGGUGGCACCGGGGCAAGACGUCGGCAAGGCCUCAGCUAGGAACGAGCCGUAGCCGCCGGAGGCUAGUUCAAAGGUUAAUGGUUCGGGCUGCGGGCUCGCAGAGAAAUUCUAGUGGUUUCUCUGUUUAGAGGGAUGGCCAGGGUGGCAGCAACACGAUGGUGAGGAGAAAGGGGUGGCGGAGGCAGGCGGUUCAGCCGAUAGUCAUGGACAGGUUGAGGAAGAAGGUGAAUAGGGGAGGACAGUAGGUGGAAGAAGGCCAUCUGGUCAUUGGUUGUUCAUCGGGCGUUUCAAAAAAAUCAAUCCAUCCAAAUCCUUUUUUAAUCGCCCGCCCUCUAGCAAUCCACUUUUUCCUCAUGGGUAACUGUGUCAAGAUGAUGUUUAGACCCCAAUAAGGGUUGGACUAUAUAUUUGUUUGUUUUGUUCUUCGAGUUGCAUAUAUAGAACAGAAAUAGAAUUUAAGCUAUUCUCGUCUUCACUAGAAUCAUUUAUCCAUCCAGAUCUAUGCUCAUGCAUUGUUGUUAAUGUACUUACAUUCUUCUAUCUGCAUGGGCCAUUGUCUAACAUCUCAACUCUUGGUUCCAUCAUCCCUAGUAUCAAUGAUCAUUGUCGAGACUAUACACACCAUUUUCUCGUUGGUCCUUUCUCAUUUCAUUCACCGGAGCGGCUGUAGCCCUCCGUGUAGGGUCGGCGGCACGAGGAGGGGUUGUCGGUGUCGUUCCUGAUGUUAGAGUCUUCGGACAGGGAUUGAUUGUUCGCUUUUUGGCGUUUUCGAAAAGUAUCCCGUUCGCUCUAGAGCCCUGCCAACACAUUUUGUGUCGGGCUACAAAUUUGUUGUUGCAAGGGCAAAGCAUGCGCGUGCUUAAGGACUACUAGAAUCUAGUCAUUGCCCAAAUACUUAUAAUGAUACCGCUGAUUUUGAUAAAAGAAACACUUUGCUUUUGGUCUGUGCGUGCUACUUUUGGUUUGUUGGUUUUCCAGCUAUAUUUGCUAGCUCAAAUUUAGAUAAACCAGCUUUACAUUUGUAGACCAAAUGAGUUCGUGUUAUAUGUUAUAUAUGCGUUCAUAUUGGUCUUUUUCUCCAAUUGAGCCGGCAGAAGUUGCCUGAUUUUUGGAUUUGGCUCAGUUGAUUUAAUUGGGAAGGAAGAAGGAAGCGCAACGGGGCAUGGUGUCCGCCUUUGGUGGCAACGGGGCAUGGUGUCCGCCUUUGGUGGCACUGGGGCAAGACGUCGGCAAGGCCUCGGCUAGGAACGAGCCGUAGCCGCCGGAGGCUAGUUCAAAGGUUAAUGGUUUGGACUGCGGGCUCGCAGAGAAAUUCUAGUGGUUUCUCUGUUUAGAGGGAUGGCCAGGGUGGCAGCAACACGAUGGUGAGGAGAAAGGGGUGGCGGAGGCAGGCGGUUUAGCCGAUAGUCAUGGACAGGUUGAGGAAGAACGUGAAUAGGGGAGGACAGUAGGUGGAAGAAGGCCAUCUGGUCAUUGGUUGUUCAUCGGGCGUUUCAAAAAAAUCAAUCCAUCCAAAUCCUUUUUUAAUCGCCCGCCCUCUAGCAAUCCACUUUUUCCUCAUGGGUAACUGUGUCAAGAUGAAUCAAUCCAUCCAAAUCCUUUUUUAAUCGCCCGCCCUCUAGCAAUCCACUUUUUCCUCAUGGGUAACUGUGUCAAGAUGAUGUUUAGACCCCAAUAAGGGUUGGACUAUAUAUUUGUUUGUUUUGUUCUUCGAGUUGCAUAUAUAGAACAGAAAUAGAAUUUAAGCUAUUCUCGUCUUCACUAGAAUCAUUUAUCCAUCCAGAUCUAUGCUCAUGCAUUGUUGUUAAUGUACUUACAUUCUUCUAUCUGCAUGGGCCAUUGUCUAACAUCUCAACUCUUGGUUCCAUCAUCCCUAGUAUCAAUGAUCAUUGUCGAGACUAUACACACCAUUUUCUCGUUGGUCCUUUCUCAUUUCAUUCACCGGAGCGGCUGUAGCCCUCCGUGUAGGGUCGGCGGCACGAGGAGGGGUUGUCGGUGUCGUUCCUGAUGUUAGAGUCUUCGGACGGGGAUUGAUUGUUCACGUGUUAUGAAAUUGGUCCUAAUUUGAUAGGUAUUUAAGAGGGAUAUUUUUUUUAGAACGAGGGCUCAAGAAGAGCCCGGCUUUGAAUUAACAAAGUCAUCAACUGGCCAGGAUUACAAACUCGAAACCAACACAAGAAAGAUAAGAAAAUGGCAAUAUACAAAGGCUCUGGAAAGCAGCCCACAAAGCCUCAUACACACCAAGCUAAAAAGAUCGAUAGGGAGAAACACAGCUUGAAGAUGAAGAGGUCCUCCACGCGACCAGAACGCCAUGGAAGAAGAAGAAUGCCCACACUGGAUCAACAUGUCCAACGACAAAGAAGGGCAUGCCGUCGCCUAAUCAUCAACAGCCCCGACCCUACACAUCCGCCCAGCUCCAAUGUCAAAGAAGGCCCCUGCCUCCUCUCCUGGCUCGAAAGGCGCCGCACCAUUGACAAGAGGAGCAGUUCACCCUAGAACCUGGGAGAUAGUCGCCGGCAGGCUACAUCUAAAAAGAAAACAAACUCACCCAACAAGUCACGAACACAUCACCAAGAGCAUAGCACCGCCGAAUCCCACGGACUAGUCACAAAAAGGAAGAGUUGCCGGAACGGAUAAAGAUGAGCAACAACUAGAUCUCUUUGGAAGACAUUGAGAACCGAAGUGCAGGUACCGAAAGAGGGGCUAAUACUCGUAUGGUGCACUGAGAAGGGUCGUCAAAUGAGGGGAACCCGAUCCCCUCACGCCCAGGAGAAUCCACAGGCCAGACAGAGCACCCCACAGUAGACCGGAGAGCUCCCAAAAUGAAGGAGUCAUUUAGGAAGUCGAGGUCAUCGAGGGAGAUCAGCUACAGCCGCCGCUACACACGAAACACAUCUCUGAGAAACCCCACGCCCGCCUUGCUCCCAAAACCGGCGCCUUCAGGAAGGACGUGACACCAAGGGCGCCGCCGCCGCCCAACAGUGUUGGGGAUUUCUCCCGGGAGGCAAGGAGGGGAAGGGGGCAGAGGAACAGACCCAAGCGGCACCUCCAAGGAGGGGAACGGUGUUGGGGAACGUUGCGUGGGAAACAAAAAAAUUCCUACGCUCACCAAGAUCAAUCUAGGAGAUGAACAUCUACGAGAGAAGAGAUUGCAUCUACAUACCCUUGUAGAUCGCUAAGCGGAAGCGUUAAGAAACGCGGUUGAUGUAGUCGAACGUCUGAUGUCUACUAGACAACCUUUUUCUUGUAGACGUUGUUGGGCCUCCAAGUGAAGAGGUUUGUAGGACAGUAGCAAAUUUCCCUCAAGUGGAUGACCUAAGGUUUAUCAAUCUGUGGGAGGCAUAGGAUGAAGAUAGUCUCUCUCUCAAACAACCCUGCAACCAAAUAACAAAGAGUCUCUUGUGUCCCCAACACACGCAAUACAAUGGUAAAUUGUAUAGGUGCACUAGUUCGGCGAAGAGAUGGUGAUACAAGUGCAAUAUGGAUGGUAGAUAUGAGUAUUUGUAAUCUGAAAAUAUAAAAAAGCAAGGUAACAAGUGGCAAAAGUGAGCGUAAACGGUAUUGCAAUGCUAGGAAACAAGGCCUAGGGUUCAUACUUUCACUAGUGCAAGUUCUCUCAACAAUAAUAACAUAACUGGAUCAUAUAACUAUCCCUCAACAUGCAACAAAGAGUCACUCCAAAGUCACUAGUAGCGGAGAACAAACAAAGAGAUUAUUGUAGGGUAUGAAACCACCUCAAAGUUAUCCUUUCUGAUCGAUCUAUUCAAGAGUCCGUAGUAAAAUAACACGAAGCUAUUCUUUCCGUUCGAUCUAUCAUAGAGUUCGUACUAGAAUAACACCUUAAGACACAAAUCAACUAAAACCCUAAUGUCACCUAGAUACUCCAAUGUCACCUCAAGUAUCCGUGGGCAUGAUUAUACGAUAUGCAUCACACAAUCUCAGAUUCAUCUAUUUAACAAACACAAAGUACUUCAAAGAGUGCCCCAAAGUUUCUACCGGAGAGUCAAGACGAAAACGUGUGCCAACCCCUAUGCAUAAGUUCAUUGAACCCGCAAGUUGAUCACCAAAACAUACAUCAAGUAGAUCACAUGAAUAUCCCAUUGUCAACAUAGAUAAGCACGACAAGACAUACAUCAAGUGUUCUCAAAUCCUUAAAGACUCAAUCCGACAAGACAACUUUGAUAACCCAUAAGUAUAGGGGAUCGCAACGGUUUUCGAGGGUAUAGUAUUCAAUCCAAAUUUAUUGAUUCGACACAAGGGGAGCCAAAGAAUAUUCUCAAGUAUUAGCAGUUGAGUUGUCAAUUCAACCACACCUGGAUAACUUAAUAUCUUCAGCAAAGUAUUUAGUAGCAAAGAAGUAUGGAAGUAACAGUAACAGUAGCAAAAGUAACAGUAGCAGUUUUAUAGUAAUUGUAACAGUAGCAACGGUAAAGUAAAUAAGCAAAGAACAAUAUGUGAAAAGCUCGUAGGCAUUGGAUCUGUGAUGGAUAAUUAUGUCGGAUGCGAUUCCUCAUGUAAUAGUUAUAACAUAGGGUGACACAGAACUAGCUCCAGUUCAUCAAUGUAAUGUAGGCAUGUAUUCCGAAUAUAGUCAUACGUGCUUAUGGAAAAGAACUUGCAUGACAUCUUUUGUCCUACCCUCCCGUGGCAGCGGGUCCUAAUGGAAACUAAGGGAUAUUAAGGCCUCCUUUUAAUAGAGUACCAGACCAAAGCAUUAAUUAGCACAUAGUGAAUACAUGAACUCCUCAAACUACGGUCAUCACCGAGAAGUAUCCCGAUUAUUGUCACUUCAGGGUUGUCGGAUCAUAACACAUAAUAGGUGAAUAUAGACUUGCAAGAUAGGAUCAAAAACUCACAUAUAUUCAUGAAAACGUAAUAGGUUCAGAUCUGAAAUCAUGGCACUCGGGCCCUAGUGACAAGCAUUAAGCAUAGCAAAGUCGUAGCAACAUCAACCUCAGAACAUAGUGGAUACUAGGGAUCAAACCCUAACAAAACUAACUUGAUUACAUGGUAAAUCUCAUCCAACUCAUCACCGUCCAGCAAGCCUAUGAUGCAAUUACUCACGCACGGCGGUGAGCAUCAUGAAAUUGGUGAUGGAGGAUGGCUUAUGAUGAUGACGGCGACGAAUCCCCCUCUCCGGAGCCCCAAACGGACUCCAGAUCAGCCCUCUCGAGAGAGAUUAGGGCUUGGCGGCGGCUCCGUAUCGUAAAACGCGAUGAAACUUUCUCUCUGAUUUUUUUCUCCACGAAAGCAAAUAUAUGGAGUUGGAGUUGAGGUCGGUGGACGUCCAGGGGGCCCACGAGGCAGGGGGGCACGCCCCCCACCCUCGUGGACAGGGUGUGGGGCCCCUGACGUUGAUUCUUUAUUUUUUAUUAAUUCUGAAAAGUUGCUCUGUGGAUUUUCAUGUCAUUCCGAGAAUUUUUAUUUCUGCACAAAAAUAACACCACGGCAGUUCUGCUGGAAACAGCAUCAGUCCGGGUUAGUUCCAUUCAAAUCAUGCAAGUUAGAGUCCAAAACAAGGGCAAAAGUGUUUGGAAAAGUAGAUACGACGGAGACGUAUCAAACUUCAAGGGGAAAACUCAAUUCAUCACAAGAGAGUAGAGGAGGAGAAACAUCAUAAGAUCCAACUAUAAUAGCAAAGCUCGCGAUACAUCAAGAUCGUAUCACCUCAAGAACACGAGAGAGAGAGAUAGAUCAAACACAUAGCUACUGGUACAUACCCUCAGCCCCGAGGGUGAACUAGUCCCUCCUCGUCAUGGAGAGCGCCGGGAUGAUGAAGAUGGCCACCAGUGAGGGAUCCCCCCUUCGGUAGGGUGCCGGAACAGGGUACCGAUUGGUUUUUGGUGGCUACAGAGGCUUGCGGCGGCGGAACUUCCGAUCUAUUAUGCUCCUCGAUGUUUUUAGGGUAUAUGGACAUAUAUAGGCGAAAGGAGUCGGUCAAGGGAGCCACGAGGGGCCCACGAGGGUGGGGCACGCCCAGGGGGGUAGGGUGCGGCCCUGACCCUCGUGGCCACCUCGAAGCUUCCCUGACGUAUACUCCAAGUCUCCUGGAUUGCUUCCGUUCCAAAAAUAACUCUCCCAAAGGUUUCAUUCCGUUUGGACUCCGUUUGAUAUUCCUUUUCUUCGAAACACUGAAAUAGGCAAGAAAACAGCAAUUUGGGCUGGGCCUCCGGUUAGUAGGUUAGUCCCAAAAAUGAUAUAAAAGUGUAGAGUAAAGCCCAUAAACAUCCAAAACGGGUAAUAUAAUAGCAUGGAACAAUCAAAAAUUAUAGAUACGUUGGAGACGUAUCAAGCAUCCCCAAGCUUAAUUCCUGCUCGUCCUCGAGUAGGUAAAUGAUAAAACAGAAUUUUAGAUGUGGAAUUCUACCUAGAAUAUUUCUCAAUGUAAUUUUUUUUAUUGUGAGAUGAAUGUUCAGAUCCAAAUGAUUCAAAAUAAAAAGUUCAUAUUGACAUAAGAAAUAGUAAUACUUCAAGCACACUAACAAGUAAUCAUGUCUUCUCAAAAUAACAUGGCCAAAGAAAGUUUAUCCCUACAAAAUCAUAUAGUUAGGCUAUGCUUCAUUUUCGUCACACAAAAUACUCCCAUCAUGCACAACCUCGGUUUCAUCCAAGCAAUUGGUUCAUACUUUUUAACGCGCUUCAGCCUUUUUCAACUCUCACGCAAUACAUGAGCGUAAGCCAUGGAUAUAGCACUAUGGGUGGAAUAGAAUAUGAUGAUGGAGCUUGUGUGGAGAAGACAAAAAAGGAGAAAGUCUCACAUUGACGAGGCUAAUCAACGGGCUAUGGAGAUGCCCAUCAAUUGUUGUCAACAUGAGGAGUAGGGAUUGCCAUGCAACGGAUGCACUAGAGCUAUAAAUGUAUGAAAGCUCAACAAAAGAAACUAAGUGGGUGUGCAUCCAUUUUGCUUGCUCAUGAAGACCUAGGGCAUUUUGAGAAAGCCCAUCGUUGGAAUAUACAAGCCAAGUUCUAUAAUGAAAAAUUCCCACUAGUAUAUGAAAGUGACAACAUAGGAGACUCUCUAUAUGAAGAACAUGGUGCUACUUUGAAGCACAAGUGUGGAAAAAGAUAGUAACAUUGUCCCCCCCCCCUUUUUGGGCCUUUCUUCCUUUUUGGCCUUUUUUAUUGGCCUUUUUUUAAUGGCCUUUUUUAUUUGGCCUUUCUUUUUUAUAAGGGACAAUGCUCUAAUAAUGAUGAUCAUCACACUUCUAUUUACUUACAACUCAUGAAUUACAACUCGAUACUAGAACAAAAUAUGACUCUAUAUGAGUGCCUCCGGCGAUGUACGGGAUAUGCAAUGAAUCAAGAGUGACAUGUAUGAAAAUUAUGAAGGUGGCUUUGCUACAAAUACGAUGUCAACUACAUGAUCAUGCAAAAGCAACAUGACAAUGAUGAUGCAUGUCAUGAUAAACGGAACAGUGGAAAGUUGCAUGGCAAUAUAUCUCGGAAUGGCUAUGGAAAUGCCAUAAUAGGUAGGUAUGGUGGCCGUUUUGAGGAAGAUAUAAGGAGGUUUAUGUGUGAUAGAGCAUAUCGUAUCACAGGUUUGGAUGCACCGGCGAAGUUUGCACCAACUCUCAAGGUGAGAAAGGGCAAUGCACGGUACCGAAGUGGCUAGCAAUGAUGGAAGGGUAAGAGUGCGUAUAAUCCAUGGACUCACAUUAGUCAUAAAGAACUCAUAUACUUAUUGCAAAAGUUUUAUUAGCCCUCGAAGCAAAGUACUACUAAGCAUGCUCCUAGGGGGAGGUUGGUAGGAGUUAACCAUCGCGCGCCCCGACCUCCACACAUAAGGAUGGCAAUUAAAAGAGCACCCCAUGCAACAAAUUUGUUACACAACUUUUACCAUACGUGCAUGCUACAGGACUUGCCAACUUCAACACAAGUAUUUCUCAAUCUCAUAAUUACCCAACUAGCAUGACUCUAAUAUUACCACCUUUAUAUCUCAAAACAAUUAUCAAGCAUCAAAUUGAUCAUAACAUCCAAUUCACUUUCUAUGAUAGUUUUUAUUAUACCCAAAUUGGAUGCCCAUCAUUCUAGGACCAAUUUUAUAACCAUAGCAAAUACCAUGUUGUUCUAAAAGACUCUCAAAAUAAUAUAAGUGAAGCAUGAGAGAUUAACAAUUUCUAAAAAAUAAAACCGUCGUCGUGCUCUAAAAAUAUAUAAGUGAAGCACUAGAGCAAUAUUGUCUAGCUCAAAAGAUAUAAGUGAAGCACAUAGAGUAUUCUAAUAAAUUCCGAAGCAUGUGUGUCUCUCCCAAAAGGUGUGUAAAGCAAGGAUGAUUGUGGUAAACUAAAAAGCAAAGACUCAUAUCAUACAAGACGCUCCAAGCAAAACACAUAUCAUGUGGUGAAUAAAAAUAUAACUCCAAGUAAAGUUACCGAUAGACGAAGACGAAAGAGGGGAUGCCAUCUGGGGCAUCCCCAAGCUUAGGCUCUUGGUUGUCCUUGAAUAUUACCUUGGGGUGCCUUGGGCAUCCCCAAGCUUAGGCUCUUGCCACUCCUUAUUCCAUAGUCCAUCGAAUCUUUACCCAAAACUUGAAAACUUCACAACACAAAACUCAACAGAAAACUCGUAAGCUCCGUUAGUAUAAGAAAAUAAUUCACCACUUAUGUACUGUUGUGAACUCAUUAUAAAUUUGUAUGGGUGUAAUAUCUACUGUAUUCCAACUUCUCUAUGGUUCAUACCCUCCGAUACUACUCAUAGAUUCAUCAAAAUAAGCAAACAACACAUAGAAAACAGAAUCUGUAAAAAAAACAGAACAGUUUGUAGUAAUCUGUAUCAUUCGAAUACUUCUAUAACUCCAAAACUUCUACCAAAUUAUGAAAACCUGAGUAAUUUGUGUACCAAUCCAUAGCAAAAAGAAUUAGAUCAAAAUCACGUUUCUGUGAAUUAUCAAAACUAAUUUACUUGGUGCAAAAGUUUCUGAUUUUCAGCAGGAUCAACACAACUAUCACCGUAAGCUAUUCUAAAGGUCUUACUUGGCACUUUAUUGAAACAAAAGCUAUAAAACAUGAUUAUUACAGUAGUAUAAUCAUGUGGACACACAAAAAUAGUAAAGGUAAAUAUUGGGUUGUCUCCUAACAAGCGAUUUUCUUUAAUGCCUUUUAGCUAGGCAUGAUGGUUUCAAUGAUGCUCGCAUAAAAGAUAAGAACUGAAACAUAAAGAGAGCAUAAUGUAGCAUAUUACUAACACAUUUAAGUCUAACCCACUUCCUAUGCAUAGGGAUUUUGUGAGCAAACAACUUAUGGGAACAAUAAUCAACUAGCAUAGGAAGGCAAAACAAGCAUAACUUCAAGAUUUUAAGCACAUAGAGAUGAGACUUGAUAUUAUUGCAAUUCCUACAAGCAUAUGUUCCUCCCUCAUAAUAAUUUUCAGUAGCGUCAUGAAUGAAUUCAACAAUAUAACCAGCACCUAAAGCAUUCUUUUCAUGAUCUACUUGCAUAGAAAUUUUACUACUCUCCACAUAAGCAAAAUCUUCUUAUUCGGAAUAGUGGGAGUAUCAUAAGAGACUCGAAUACUAUAAAUUGUUUCCACAUUAAAAGAGUAGUGUUAAGAAAAGGGGUAAUCAUAAUUAUGACAAGUUUUAUAAAUAUAAUCAUCACUACUUUUUAUAGCAUAAGUUUCAUCAAAAUAAUCAUCAUAAGUAGCAACUUUGUUCUCAUCAUAAUCAAUUGAAACCUUUUCCAAAAUAGUGGAUUCACCACUAAAUAACGUCAUGACCUCUCCAAAUCCACUUUCAUAAAUAUCAAAAUAAGAUUCAGCAUUCUCCAAAAUAGUGGGAUCAUUACUUCCUAAAGUUGACACUCUUCCAAACCCACUUUCAACAAUAUAAUCAUCAUAAGUAGGAGGCAUGAUAUCAUCAUAACAACUUUGCAUAUCAAAACUUGGGAGGCUAAAAAUAUCACCUUCAUUAAACGUAGCAUCCCCAAGCUUGGGACAAACAUUAAUUGCAGCAAAUAUAUUCUCAAACAUGUCAUUUUCAUCAAACAUAGCAUCCCCAAGCUUGGGCCUUUUCAUAUCAUAAGCGUAAUCACACUCAUCAUUAAUAGUAUGGAUAGCACCAAUAGUAUAACAAUUAUCAUCAUCACAAUGAGUAAUAGGAGCAACAUCAUUUGGGAGGGAUACCUUUCUACCUUUGCUUCUCCAUCUCUUCUUUUUCUUCUUCACAUCGUGUGUGGGUUUAACUCUCUUUUUGGAGCUCCUUAUUAAUGAGAUUGGUUGAAUAGAAAGCUCCUCCUCGUUAAUAAUAGGAGGAUAUUGGGAAGUCUCUUCCCUUUCAUUAGUAUUCUCUUCAUCUUCUAUUUGCUUUCUUAUAGAUCACUGAAUAUGAUAUGUUUGAUUCCUUGCAAUAGUUUUGCGAUAUGAAGAUGGUGAUAUUAGAGUCAUGCUAGUGGGUAGUUGUGGAUUGUAGAAAUACUUGUGUUGAAGUUCGUGAUUCCCGUAGCAUGCACGUAUGGUGAACCGUUAUGUAACGAAGUUGGAGCAUGAGGUAUUUAUUGAUUGUCUUCCUUAUGAGUGGUGGUCGGAGACGAGCGAUGGUCUUUUCCUACCAAUCUACCCCCCUAGGAGCAUGUGCGUAGUACUUUGUUUCGAUGACUAAUAGAUUUUUGCUAUAAGUAUGUGAGUUCUUUAUGACUAAUGUUGAGUCCAUGGAUUAUAUGCACUCUCACCCUUCCAUCAUUGUUAGCCUCUUCGGUACCAUGCAUUGCCCUUUCUCACCUCGAGAGUUGGUGCAAACUUCGUCGGUGCAUCCAAACCCCGUGAUACGAUACACUCUAUCACACAUAAGCCUCCUUAUAUCUUCCUCAAAACAGCCACCAUACCUACCUAUCAUGGCAUUUCCAUAGCCAUUCCGAGAUAUAUUGCCAUGCAACUUCCAUCAUCAUCAUAUACAUGACUUGAGCAUUCAUUGUCAUGCAUAUUACUUUGCAUGAUCGUAAGAUAGCUAGCAUGAUGUUUUCAUGGCUUGCCCGUUUUUUGAUGUCAUUGCUAUGCUAGAUCAUUACACAUCCCGGUACACCGCCGAAGGCAUUCGUAUAGAGUCAUAUCUUUGUUUUAGAUAUCGAGUUGUAAUAUUGAGUUGUAAGUAAAUAUAAGUGUGAUGAUCAUCAUUAUUAGAGCAUUGCCCCAUGGAAAAAAAUAGGCCAAAGAAGCCUAAAUAAAAAGGUGGGGGGUGGGGCAAAGAAGACCGCCAAAAAAAAGAGAAAAAAGGGGGCAAUGUUACUAUCCUUUUACCACACUUGUGCUUCAGAGUAGCACCAUGUUCUUCAUAUAGAGAGUCUCCUAUAUUGUCACUUUCAUAUACUAGUGGGAAUUUUCAUUAUAGAACUUGGCUUGUAUAUUCUGAUGAUGGGCUUCCUCAAAUGCGUGAGGUCUUCAUGAGCAAGCAAGUUGGAUGCACACCCACUUAGUUUCCAGUUUGAGCUUUCAUACACUUAUAGCUCUUAGUGCAUCCGUUGCAUGGCAAUCCCUACUCCUCGCAUUGACAUCAAUUGAUGGGCAUCUCCAUAGCCCGUUGAUUAGCCGCAUCAAUGUGAGACUUUCUCCCUUUUUGUCUUCUCCACACAACCUCCACCAUCAUAUUCUAUUCCACCUAUAGUGCUAUGUCCAUGGCUCACACUCAUGUAUUGCAUGAAAGUUGAAAAGGUUUGAGAACGUCAAAAGUAUGAAACAAUUGCUUGGCUUGUCAUCGGGGUUGUGCAUGAUUUGAGUAUUUUGUGUGGUGAAGAUGGAGCAUAGCCAGACUAUAUGAUUUUGUAGGGAUAACUUUCUUUGGCCAUGUUGUUUUGAAAAGACAUGAUUGCUUUAUUAGUACAUUUGAAGUAUUAUCAUUUUUAUGUCAAAUGAUAGAUUAUUGCUUUGAAUCACUCGUGUCUUAAUAUUCAUGCCAUGAUUAUAUAUAUGAUCAAGAUUAUGCUAGGUAGCAUUCCACAUCAAAAAUUAUCUUUUUAUCAUUUACCUACUCGAGGACGAGCAAGAAUUAAGCUUGGGGAUGCUGAUACGUCUCCGUCGUAUCUAUAAUUUUUGAUUGCUCCAUGCCAAUAUUAUUCAACUUUCACAUACUUCUUUUGGCAACUUUUUAUAAUAUUUUUGGGACUAACAUAUUGAUCCGGUGCCCAGUGCCAGUUCCUUUUUGUUGCAUGUUUUAUGUUUCACAGAAAACCCAUAUCAAACGGAGCUAAACGGGAUAAAAACGGACGGAGAAUAUUUUUGGAAUAUUUGUGAUAUUUGGGAAGAAAAAUCAACGCGAGACGGUGCCCGAGGGGGCCACGAGGCAGGGGGCAUGCCCCUGACCCUCGUGGGCACCCCGUAAGGCGGUUGCUGCUCUUCUUUGGCCGCAAGAAAGCUAAUUUUUGAGAAAAAAAUCUUGGCGAAGGUUUCAGUCCAAUCGGAGUUACGGAUCUCCGGAUAUAUACGAAACGGUGAAAGGGCAGAAUCAAGAACGCAGAAACAGAGAGAGGCAGAGAGACAGAUCCAAUCUCGGAGGGGCUCUCGCCCCUCCCAUGCCAUGGAAGCCAAGGACCAGAGGGGAAACCCUUCUCCCAUCUAGGGAGAAGGUCAAGGAAGAAGAAGAAUAAGGGGGGCUCUCUCCCCCUCGCUUCCGGUGGCGCCGGAACACCGCCGGGGCCAUCAUCAUCACCAUGAUCUACACCAACAACUCCACCGCCUUCAUCACCAACUCUUCCCUCCUCUAUGCAGCGGUGUAACCCCUCUUUUACCUAAUGUAAUCUCUACUUAAACAUGGUGCUCAACGCUAUAUAUUAUUUCCCAAUGAUGUAUAGCUAUCUUAUGAUGUUUGAGUAGAUCCGUUUUGUCCUAUGGGUUAAUUGAUGAUCGUGAUUGGUUUGAAUUGCAUGUUUUAUUAUUGGUGCUGUCCUAUUGUGCCCUCCGUGUCGCGCAAGCAUGAGGGAUUCCCGCUGUAGGGUGUUGCAAUAUGUUCAUGAUUCGCUUAUAGUGGGUUGCUUGAGUGACAGAAGCAUAAACCCGAAUAAGGGGGUUCUGGCGUAUGGGAUAAAGGGGACUUGAUGCUUUAAUGCUAUGGUUGGGUUUUACCUUAAUGAUCUUUAGUAGUUGCGGAUGCUUGCUAGAGUUCCAAUCAUAAGUGCAUAUGAUCCAAGAAGAGAAAGUAUGUUAGCUUAUGCCUCUCCCUAAAAAAAAUUGCAAUAGUGAUUACCGGUUUAGUUAUCGAUUGCCUAGGGACAAAUAACUUUCUCGUGACAAAAAGCUCUCUAUUAAAACUAACUUAGUUUUGUCUUCAUCUAAACAGCCCCUACUUUUUAUUUACGUGCUCUUUAUUAUCUUGCAAACCUAUCCUAUCAUACCUGCAAAGUCCUUAUAGUUUCUUACUUGUUCUAGGUAAAGCGAACGUCAAGCGUGCAUAGAGUUGUAUCGGUGGUCGAUAGAACUUGAUGGAAUAUUUGUUCUACCUUUAGCUCCUCGUUUUGUUCAACACUCUUAUUAUCGAAAGAGGCUACAAUUUAUCCCCUAUACUUGUGGGUUAUCACGCCACCAGACCUUUUUUGCCCUCCAUGCAGUCACGUUCUAGGGCACCAUGUCCUCCAAGCCCUCCUCGUCCGCGCUUUAGGGCACGACGGAGCGGAUGUGCGNNNNNNNNNNNNNNNNNNNNNNNNNNNNNNNNNNNNNNNNNNNNNNNNNNNNNNNNNNNNNNNNNNNNNNNNNNNNNNNNNNNNNNNNNNNNNNNNNNNNNNNNNNNNNNNNNNNNNNNNNNNNNNNNNNNNNNNNNNNNNNNNNNNNNNNNNNNNNNNNNNNNNNNNNNNNNNNNNNNNNNNNNNNNNNNNNNNNNNNNNNNNNNNNNNNNNNNNNNNNNNNNNNNNNNNNNNNNNNNNNNNNNNNNNNNNNNNNNNNNAUGGAGUUUGAGAACGCCUAGUGGGAUGGCCUGGAGGUGCAGAUCGCGCUUUCGUCCGUCGGGGAUGUCAUCAUCCCUGAGCUGGAGGAGGCAGACGACGCGGAACUCCGGUGGAACCCGGCAGUGGUGGGCCAGUCCUGGUCGUGAACUUCGACUUUGUCGUGCACGCGGGAGUUGGCGUCUGCGCCACACGUGUUGGUUGGCACCGACACAUGAUCACCGCUCCACGUGCCACCGCCGCCCCCCUGCUGUGCAACCGCCACAGUCGCCACCAGCCCACCUAUGGCAGUCGCCUCCCUUCGUCAACCUCAGCACAGACGAGGAAGAGGGCAACCAAGACGGUGGCGAGGCCAUGCAGUGAACACGGCGGGGACGUCUUGUUCUUUUCUAUAAUAAUUUUGAGUUUAAGUUGAUGCAUGAUGAAUAGUUCGGCCAUGACUUUUGGACGUUAAUGUAAUAUAUAAUUAUCGUUUAGAUUAUUUUUUAUCUCCUUUUUUGUUUGAAUUUUAGUUUAAAUCUGAACGCUUUCACCAAAUGUGACGGCCGGUCGGGUGCGACAACCGGCGGACGACCGCAAAUGGACGCUUGUGUCCACUUUGCCGACCCAAACGGACAGAAUCCGGAUAAAGCAGACGUCUGUUUGGGGUCGUCCAACAACUUUUGGAGUCGGCCUUAAAACACACAGCCAUAGAGCAGGUCUUAGAGCAUCUCCAGCCGCGCCCCAACAUGCCCCCCACCCAAGGCCCUUUUUCGUCGCCGACGGAGAAAAUUCGGCUCGGUCGCACCCACAGAAGCCCAAUUUUCACUGUUUAGGGCCGAUUUUGGCGCCGCCGGACCCAGGCCGAACCCGGCGCACUGGGGGGCAUCCAGGGGCAACGGGGAAAACGUUUUUUGGUGUGAAAAGGAGUGGGUCCUCAGAGUUAGUGAAUCGCCGCCUUCCUCGUCCUCAUCGCCUCGGUUCCCACGGGAAUCAAUGCCAAGGCCGCCACGCCGGUCAGUCUUCAAUUGAUGCCUCACGGGCAGCGCAGUGAAGGCGUGGCGACACGCGUCCCCUCCCGCCACGCGGCACAUGGUGGCAGCUCUCCCACCGCCCAUCUGCAGCUAUAAGCCGUCUUCCCUCGCCGGUGAACGCACAAACUCUCGCCACCGACACCCUUCUCUCUACCUCUCGCCGCCGAUGCCUCUCUCACCCACUCUCUCCCACGCCAAUGUCAAUGGUCGAGCGCUUCCCAGGCGACGACGGAGUGGCGAACGGCUUCGGUCGCCGCCAUCUGCAUGAGGUUGAGGCGCGCCUCCUCUACGAGGCCGACUACCCGGUGCCCCUGAACAUGCGGGUGUCGGGCACCUGGAGGCUCGGCGCUGGCGGUGUCCCGGUGCCGCCUGCGCCAACCGGAGUGGCCCGGCGAGCCGAAAUCCGGUUAUCGCUGCCGGAGCCACAACGGAAUCAGCCGAGGUACGACCCCGACGAGCAACACGCUGUGGACGGCGUACUUCGAGCGGUGCCACGAGGAGCAGAUUGUCGCCACCAGCGGCGUCGAGCCCCGCGGCCGCCACAACUCCGAGGGGAGGCGCCGAUGGUGGGGCGUCCCAGGCCGAACCCUUGAGGCCGUCCUUGAGCACAUUGAGGCCUGGGGUACCCGGCGCCCCCUCCUUCUCUCGUCGCCGCGACAGCUCCUGGAUGCCACGGCGAAUGGAGACGGCGACAUCAUCGUCGUCGGGCUCUAGCUCUCUGUCCUCCAGCUCGCCGGCACUUCGCCCCGUCAAGCCGGAGCUGCAGGAGACGCCACUAGGGCGCCGCAUACGCGGCGGCGCCCUUGUCAUCAACGAGGGCGGCCGCCCCUCUCCUUCCUACGAAGACCGAUCCAGGUUUGCUCCCCGUGAAGAAGGAGCACGAGGCCAUGCCCGCCGCCUAUGAGACCGCCCUCAAGUGGGUGAAGGCGGACUACGUCCGCGAGCAGAUGGAGCGCCAGCGCCGGGCGAUCGUAGAGAUCGCCGCUCGGCGCCGCGGACGCGCGGAGGGUGGCGUGGUCGUCCUCGACAGCGACGACGAGGAUGCGCCUGGGCCAUCCAACCCCCCGCGCAUCGGCGACGCUGGUCAGGGGUGCAGCAGAGACGGUGACGACAGCGACUACACCUGGUUCUACAGGCUCCUCGGCAUGUAGAUGGCGGGAGGCAGCAGUGGCUGGGCGUAGUCGUUUUUAAUUUGUGUUUUUAGUUUUUUAUACAAAUAUCAAUGAAAAUCGUCUAGUUUGGACGAAAUUGUGUCUUGUUUGGCCAAUUUUAUAUUUCAAAAAAUGGCAUCUGGGGCAACCUGGGUGCGGCGGCUGGGAAACCCAGUCACCCCCACGACGAAAUUAUUGCGUUUUUUUUUUUUUGAGUCCUGGGCCGAACCGGAGAUGCUCUUACGGUCAUACCCAUGUUCGGCCCAUUAUACCUGGACUAGGCCGGGCCGGCGUUAUCCGAGAGUUCUGAAGGCGCGCUGCUCAUCCGAGAGCUGGAAGAAUCGGCGGCGCACAUGGAGGCGCAGCCGCGGGAGAUCUUCCUCGGCGCCGGCGGCCACUGCUUCCUCGUCCUCGUCCUCGUCGCUCACGUAAUACACCCAAACCCUACCUCGUCCCGUUUCUCUUCACCUGCGGAUGUUGCAUCAGAUCCGCCUACAUCUGCAAGUAGGGAUUAAGGCAUAGAUGGAUUCUUUCUGCUUAGUCUCGAAGAAGAAAAGCAAUCCAGAUUGAGACUUUCCCACUUUAGAUCUCCAACAUUGCAGAUAAUAAUAGAGGGUGUCGGUCACCGAUUCUCAAUUUGCUCUGAAAUUCGUAUGUGCUCUGCUUUUAUUUUUCUGUCAGCAUGGACACUUGCCAGAUACAUUAUUUGAUUGAGAAAUACUAGGCGAUUGUGGUGUGUAAUCUGUAUGAACAAAGAUCUACAAGAAACUUAAACAAGCCGUCUAUCUAGCGCGUAUUAUAUACAUAUAACUUCCCCAUAUAAUUUAUAUUCAGUUUUUUCAUCAUUGUUGAUCUUAUUCUGAACUUCUCAGGAGCGACAACUCAAUGCGAUUAGUACCUUUGUUCAGUUCAGUGUAUGAUGGGAACAUAGUUUGGCGUUGAUGUCCUAACGACACGCAUCACUCAUGUUUUUUAGAAUCUUGGUAGCUCAUCUUGGUAACUCAUGUUCUUUUUUAUACAGUUAUACCUUGUUUCGCAAGCCUAACCUUUUUCUUAAAUUUGCUUUGUUGAACAGGGAGAGACCCAUCAUGCAAAUAAUGGCCAACAGGACAUGUUCUGCUUCUGCCUCCUCACUCUUUGCUUCAUCUCGGCCACAAGGAUGGGCAGAGCUCCCGGACGACCUGCUCCGACCCAUUGUCGCUCUACUACGCUCGUUCCGCGACCUCCUCGCCUUCGGUACCACUUGUCGUCAUUGGUGUGAUCUCUUCUCAGCACGCAGGUCCUCUCUCCAGCCUCUGCUCCUCCACCCCAAUCUCCGUACCGACGGUGGACAGACUCUCUCGCAUAACUGUUGGACCUUAUUCCACAAAGGCGCAUGGAGAUUGGCUGACCCUGCUGCCACCUCAUCCUCUCGCAGUUUUCUUUCCUUGAGUGACCUCAGAAGCAUGACCUUUCUGCGCUACUCCCAUGGUCAGCUCAUCUUCUACGACAACAAUGGGUUCCAUAUUGUUAAUCCGUUCAGUGGCACUAAGGUUGGUCCUCCUUCCCUCCAGUCAGUUCACUUCACUUGCAUCAGCUAUGUCACCUUAACUGCCCCUGUUGCAUCCACUGAUUCGCAUCUCCUUGUCGGUGCUGGAGCCUAUCUGUUCCUGUGGCGCAUCGGGAGCGACUCUUGGACAAAACACAGUCCUAAAGUUGUUCGUUUUUCCAUUGAACAAAAUGUGGCCUUCAAGGGCAAGACAUAUGCCCUAGGGUCUUUCGGGUGGUUCUACAUCAUUCACUUGUCACCCAGUCUCAUUGUUGAGAAGUUUAAAGUUGUGUUCGAGGAAGAUAAAACCGAAGAUCUCUAUUCGGCAAAUGAAAAAGCAUGGCUACUGGUGUGUGGUGACACGCUUCUCUUGAUCAAACUUGUGGAGGCGGGAAGACGGAUGCGCUCGGAGGCCUUCCAGUUCAUGCCCUUCAAGCUUGAGUCAUUGGACACCAUGACCAAGAAGGCAAGGUGGGUGAAAGUGAACAAGUUAGAUAACUGGGCCAUCUUUAUCAGCAUUGACGAGCGGUGCAAGGCGUUGCCGUGCAUGAACCCAGAGGGAUGGGGAGGAAGGAGCAACCACAUAUACUUCCCAAGUUAUCAGUCUGAAAAACCUUGGGCUGCAGUCCAACUAUGGGAAAAAUGUUAUUACCGUUCGACACAGCUCUUCAACACUGGAAGACGGUACCUGAAAUUGGAGUCAACCUGGGUCUUCCCCGCGCGUUUCCUUGUUACGUCCUGCGAUGAUCUUACGGCCGUGAGUGCGGUUGAUGAUUAGCUUCUGAUACAGCUUUGGUGGGAGGAUUCUACUAUGUUGCAGUAGCAAGAUGAGUAGUUCACUGAAUGUUCUUGACGUGUUUCAAAACUUGCAUUACAAACAGAAGUGUAGAUUAAGUUAUCAGAUUAUGUACUUUCCUCUCUUUUUCUGUGGCAAUUACAAGGGAGUUUCUUACAGAUUGUGGAGUUUUCUUGUACCUGGGCACUUGAUAACAUGGGCUAGGCCUGUAACUUCCCUUUAAUACAUAGAUAGCUAAGAGUAAUUGUACUAUGAUUGUUGAUUAUUCACGUGAUGUGCUUGAGCAUAUGACAGUCUUAUUGGGUGGAAAUGUGAAUCUUGAGAACAUAGCUUGGGCAGAGCUACCAUUUUUUAACUGAACAUUGUACGCAUUUUGGGCUGGAGAUUUGCAAGGUCACCAAGAAUUAGAGUGAGGAUGCAAGUCCAUAGCAUCAGGUUAAUAUAGACUGCAAGUUCAGCCAACAAACAUAUAACCAGCAUAUAUGCAUUCAGCACAAAUUUUAUAUUUCACACCAACAAAAACUAGGCAGACAGAGUGUUCGACAACCAAAAAGCUCUGCAUUUGCACGUAGCUUCAGCAAACAGCUCUGCGUGCAUUUGAUUAUCUCUGUUUAGAAGAAGAUCAAGCUACAAAUAGAUGUAUGGACCAAACAAAGCACAUAACUAAAAUAAAGCCCAGGCACAUAUCUGACAUGGUGCACACAAAAAAUGCUGAAGACCCAAGGAGCUAGUAUUGAUUCAGGAUGCAAACCCUUAUCUUUUGUAUGCAAAAGAGGAGUAAUUAACAAAGUUCAGUGAAAACAGCAACAUGUAGCACAAGUUUUGCCUCCAGGAAUGUACACUGGGUGGCAAACAGAGAUUAUUACAAAUCUUGAUGUACUCCGUCAAAGGAGCUGAAACUAGAAGGAACAUAGCGACAAAAAGUCCCCAAGUGCAGCCAACGACAACAAGACAACUGCGCGCUGCAAUGACACGAUCUCAUACCCAAGCUGCAAAGGAUGUAGGAUUGCGAGCAAGAUAAGCAUUGAUCGUCGCAAAACAAGGUUCUGGCUCCAACUCCUCAUUUUGGUUGCCAUCUACUGGGUAUGAAAAUACCCGAGCAUUUUCAUCCAACUGAUAGACAAGGCCACCCCUUAAACCCAUUCUCUCUGGAUUCACUAAGAGUCGUGGCUGUCUAUUACGUUUCUCGCCAAAGAAGAACGCCCACUUCUUCAAGCCUUCCUCUUCCACGAUCACAUACUUUGCAGGUUCAGUUGAGAAGUCAAUGGAGAAGGCUUCCCCGUUACGACCAAGUAGGAGAAGUGUGUCUUCACAAGCCACCAAAUUUCCGGAAAGCACGUACGGGUCCAUAUAAUCUCUGCAAUCAACUCUUAGUACCUCAACAUGAAACUGAGGUGCCAAAUGCACGGUGUAUAGUUUUUGACGCAUCCUCAUAAUGACCCGGCCUUUGAAGGACACCAUCUCCUUGAUCAAAUGUGCAUUUAGAAAAUCGCAGUGCAACCAAGAGGGGCUCCCAACUCGCCAAGCGUACAGGCAGUGCGGGCUGCUGACAAAUAGAUAUGAAUCUGGUGACGCCUUUGGAGAUAUGAAGGUUUUGUAGCAUAGUUGACUCAAUGGGAAAG
This 36073-nucleotide long non-coding RNA is filed under the name Triticum aestivum (bread wheat). RNAcentral's name for it is "long non-coding RNA (TAES_LNC002491)". The stretch from base 14551 to 14622 matches the Rfam family "tRNA". Lineage: Eukaryota; Viridiplantae; Streptophyta; Magnoliopsida; Poales; Poaceae. The record is from RNAcentral.